CAGAACGAACGCUGGCGGCAUGCCUAACACAUGCAAGUCGAACGAGACCUUCGGGUCUAGUGGCGCACGGGUGCGUAACGCGUGGGAAUCUGCCCCUCGGUUCGGAACAACAGUUAGAAAUGACUGCUAAUACCGGAUAAAUGACGAAAGUCCAAAGAUUUAUCGCGAGGGAUGAGCCCGCGUAGGAUUAGCUUGUUGGUGGGGUAAUGGCCCACCAAGGCGACGAUCCUUAGCUGGUCUGAGAGGAUGAUCGGCCACACUGGGACUGAGACACGGCCCAGACUCCUACGGGAGGCAGCAGUGGGGAAUAUUGGACAAUGGGCGAAAGCCUGAUCCAGCAAUGCCGCGUGAGUGAUGAAGGCCUUAGGGUUGUAAAGCUCUUUUACCAGGGAUGAUAAUGACAGUACCUGGAGAAUAAGCUCCGGCUAACUCCGUG
Molecule: ribosomal RNA, 436 nt
Filed under: uncultured bacterium
Lineage: Bacteria
Description: bacterial SSU rRNA
Rfam family: Bacterial small subunit ribosomal RNA
Source: RNAcentral